Molecule: ribosomal RNA, 254 nt
Filed under: uncultured bacterium
Lineage: Bacteria
Description: partial 16S ribosomal RNA
Rfam family: Bacterial small subunit ribosomal RNA
Source: RNAcentral
UACGUAGGGUGCGAGCGUUUGUCCGGAAUUAUUGGGCGUAAAGGGCUCGUAGGCGGUUUGUCGCGUCGGGAGUGAAAACCCAGGGCUUAACUCUGGGCUUGCUUUCGAUACGGGCAGACUAGAGGUAUGCAGGGGAGAACGGAAUUCCUGGUGUAGCGGUGAAAUGCGCAGAUAUCAGGAGGAACACCGGUGGCGAAGGCGGUUCUCUGGGCAUUACCUGACGCUGAGGCGCGAAAGCGUGGGGAGCGAACAGG